This is a long non-coding RNA of Amphimedon queenslandica, 186 nucleotides long. RefSeq lists it as uncharacterized. The transcript is spliced from 3 exons. Lineage: Eukaryota; Metazoa; Porifera; Demospongiae; Haplosclerida; Niphatidae. The record is from RefSeq and is a predicted model, not a curated record.
UUAUUGCACUUGCAGAAAGCUAUUGAGCAUUACCUUGCUCCAGGGUAUGUUUAAGAUUAGUCCAGAAGGCAAGGAGGGUAGGAUUGCACUAAUGGAGUGAGCUAAAUCAAGAAGUAUAGGUUUGAAAGAUUACUUGACAUUCAGAUACCAGCAAGGCUUUACUCAAUCUUAAUUCAUCAAGGCUUG